UACAGAGGGGGCAAGCGUUGCUCGGAAUUACUGGGCGUAAAGGGCGCGUAGGCGGGAUGGCAAGUCGGUCGUGAAAUACCUCGGCUCAACUGAGGAGCGUCGAUCGAAACUGCCGUUCUUGAGGGUUGCAGAGGAGACUGGAAUUCCCGGUGUAGCGGUGAAAUGUGUAGAGAUCGGGAGGAACACCGGUGGCGAAGGCGGGUCUCUGGGCAACUCCUGACGCUGAGGCGCGAAAGCGUGGGGAGCAAAC
RNAcentral lists this ribosomal RNA (250 nucleotides) under uncultured bacterium. RNAcentral describes it as "partial 16S ribosomal RNA". It matches the Rfam family "Bacterial small subunit ribosomal RNA", at positions 524 to 773 of the family's 1533-position model. The record is from RNAcentral.